Long non-coding RNA from Pseudopipra pipra, 2787 nucleotides. RefSeq lists it as uncharacterized. The transcript has 3 exons. Lineage: Eukaryota; Metazoa; Chordata; Aves; Passeriformes; Pipridae. The record is from RefSeq and is a predicted model, not a curated record.
CGGGCCCCGUGGGGGUGGGUGCAGAGGGCUGCUCCCGCCCGGUGCCCUGGGGGCUCGGCGGUGCCCGCGAGAGGUGACCGCAGCCGACCGCGGCGGAGCGGGGCGGGGGUCUCUGGCCUCCCUCGAGGUGGGCUGUGGCAGCUCGCAGAGGAGCCGCCGCGGCACUCGAGGUCAGCCAGGCGGGCGGCGCCGAGCCCUUGGACUGGGUCCCCCCACUCACGCUGAAACUAUCCUGUGAUGAAACUAUCCUCCUUCAGAAAAUGGAAACUAUUGACUAAGGUGGAAAGCUCAGAGAUUUCAGUGGCUGGACCACAUUGGAUCAGAGACUACUGCAGCUGCAGCUGCUUACCAACAACAGAUCGUGUUUGAGAGACGAGUUGACCAAAAAAAUUCCAUCUUCCCACUAUUGCCUCACAAGGGUCAACAAUUAAGGAGAAACACUGCGUGUUGCCCCUGCUCCUAGUGGAUGAUUUCUUUGUCUUUCUUGAUGAAUAGGGCUUCAGCUGAAGAACAGUAGUGAUUGAAAAAGAGGACAUAAACUGGUUGCAUUAAAAGCACUGUUGGCUGUACAGUGUCUCUAGUUGAAGCAUGGAGCCAUGAAAUAACAAACCUAUGUUGGUUUGUAGCAUGUGUAUCUGGAUGACUGCUCUGUUUUGGCUACUUCCACUCCCAAAUGUUUUGGAUUGGAUCUUCAUGUGCAGUGAAGAGAGAAUAUAUAUCAUGGACUCAGAUAUCUUCCCUCCUUGUCUUUAAACAUUUUGCUUUAACCUCUUGUUUUUAAGAUUGGAAAUUCUCAUUAGAGACCAAUUUGCUGCCAAGAUGUCUAUGGGAAACGUUUUAAAUAUUGUAAUUUGAUUAGCUUGACUGUUUAGUCCAAAGAUAUUAUGAUCUUCUACAAUGAUAGUUUGCGAUAUGGUGCCAGAAAAGAAAAAGCUUUUUAGUUUUGAGCUAAACUACCAUCCUGGUACUUCUUUAAUGAUUGCAAUGCAAGGAGUUGGAAGGUGUUAAAUGAAGGAAGCUGAUGGGGAGAUGCAUUAGAAUACUUCAAAUCUCUUAACAAGAUUAGAUUUAGUUUCAUUUUGGAAGCAGGGCAAAAUGGACAAUAAAGGCACAAUAUUUUGAAACCCACACAAAUUAAUUCUAAAUUCUGACAAACAUUACAGCUUCUUGAAUUUCAAUCAGUUUAAAAAAAGGAAUAAUUUUUAAAAUUUUUUUCUCUCAUGUUUUUCCAUUAGUAUUGGUAAUGUCACAAAGAAGUUCUUUGCCUAAUUCCUCUGAAAAUAAAGAAUUGUUUUGGCAUCUUGCAAUUCUCUGGCUUGGCCAAGCAUUCUACAGGAAGGAGCAGGCUGGUCCACAGCACCCACACCUGUCAGCAGGGGUGGAGGUGGCUACUGUUCUAAGAAGCCGUUGUCUUCUGCUGCUGGGAGCUGAACACUUGGUUUCAGAGGUUUCACUGGGUAGAUUUCUGCUGGAGCCAAGGACAAGUGGAGACCUUCCCAGACAAGUGUAUAGUGACUGGGAUUUAUGUGGCAGGCAGGAAGAAUUUGGAAAAGGGCAUGGUGAUUUUGAGGAAACAGCUUGAGAGGAGGGGGACUACAGUGCUAGUGCAUAGAGCUUGGGGCAGACCUGAGAGGUAGAAGCCUGGUAGAUUAAGAGUGUGACUCCUGAUUUUGCAGGGAGAGAAAAAGAGGUGAAAGAGGAAGGCUUGGUUCUUGUGAGAAGCAAUUUUACAGCCUGCAAAUUGUAUGACCAACCUUCCUAGUGAACUGAGCUUGGUCUUUAGGUUGAUGACGGCCUAGCUGGAGACCCAUCUCUGUCUAUGAUGUCUGUCAUCAUAGACAGAGAGAGAUAGAGAGUACUGAAAAUUUAAUUAACAGUAAACAGUUAACGAGAUGUGUCAUUACAAACAGGUCAUUGUGGGGUUUUUUUUCUAAUUAAGCCUGAAAGUUUAUUCUUACAUUUCAAUUCUGGAUUUCCUAAUGUUACUGUAGGAUUACACCGGUAAUAGCUAUGUUGUCUUACCUAACCAUGUUUAGGGUAUUGGUAAUCAUAUUGGAAAUACAGAGUCCUGGAACCCGGUGUUGGAGAGAUUUGUAAUUAAAAUUAGAUUGUAAGAGCAGCACACUUACUCUAUGCAUCUGACUUCUGCAUAUUAGAAACUAAUGUUUAUUUCAAUGCCAAAGCCAUUUUUAAUGUGUUUUUAUAAGUGUUGUUGUGCAUACUAAGUAUCUUGCUUGUAGAUUCAGUGAUAGAAAUUUGAAGAUAAAAUCGUAUCGUAUAUUAACAUCUCAUCUGUCCUUUCACAUGUUGUUUUCCUAUGAUUAUAAGCACUUCUAUACAGGGGCUAUGGAUUGGAUUGCAUCCCAGGCUGUAGUUCUGCAUGAGGAUAACUAAGAUAGCUCUAAGGACUAUCAGCAGCAGUCUGGCAUGACACUCGGGAUGGUUAAAUCUCUGACAUACAAAGUAUAUCGGUUUUUACUGGAUCUUGUGACUAAGUAUGCUCUGAUUCUUGCUUACAGCUGGCUCAUGUGUCGCAUCAAUACACUGCCAUCUGUUUUGUAUGUCAGGCUAUUUGCUAUUUUUCUGUGUUUAUUCUGGACACUUGGACAGUUCUUUGAGAUCUAAUUGUAUCCUAGGCAGAUAUACACAAUAUUUGAUAUUUAUCUUGUGUAUCAUGACCAAAAAAAUUAAUUCAUGUUGCACUGUGAAAUUCUGGGAUUGUUCAAACUUAUAUAUGCCUCUGAAAAUGCUGGAAUUUAUAUUAAAAUUUUAUCACUGGAAUCUCUA